This 275-nucleotide ribosomal RNA is filed under the name Spinactaletes calcalectoris. Its description in RNAcentral is "partial small subunit 12S ribosomal RNA". Lineage: Eukaryota; Metazoa; Arthropoda; Collembola; Entomobryomorpha; Actaletidae. The record is from RNAcentral.
UGGCGGUUUUUUAUCAUUCUAGAGGAACCUGCUCUGUAAACGAUGCCACACGGUUAAUUUUCUUUUUCUAGUGCUUAUAUAUCGUUGUCGUAAAACUUAAUUACAAAAUUUUGUUUUAAAUGCUUUCGGCAGAAUGUCAAAUCAAGGUGUAGCUGUGAAAAAGUUUGAAGUGGGUUACAAUUAUUAUUGUAUCGAAUUACUUUUUGUAAGAAAAUUAUGAAGUUGGAUUUAGGAGUAAAUUUAUUAUUAACAUGAAUUGAAUUUUGCUCUAGAAA